This 459-nucleotide ribosomal RNA is filed under the name uncultured bacterium. Its description in RNAcentral is "partial 16S ribosomal RNA". It matches the Rfam family "Bacterial small subunit ribosomal RNA", at positions 338 to 795 of the family's 1533-position model. The record is from RNAcentral.
CCUACGGGAGGCAGCAGUGAGGAAUAUUGGUCAAUGGGAGAGAUCCUGAACCAGCCAAGCCGCGUGAGGGAAGAAGGCCCUAUGGGUUGUAAACCUCUUUUGUCGGAGAACAAAACCCGGGACGAGUCCCGGACUGCGUGUAACCGAAGAACAAGCAUCGGCUAACUCAGUGCCAGCAGCCGCGGUAAUACGGAGGAUGCGAGCGUUAUCCGGAUUUAGUGGGUUUAAAGGGUGCGUAGGCGGUCGUUUAAGUCAGUGGUAAAAGUGCGGGGCUCAACCCCGUCGAGCCGUUGAAACUGGCAGACGUGAGUUGGCGAGAAGGACGCGGAAGUCGCGGUUGAGCGGUGAAAUGCAUAGAUAUCGCGCAGAACUCCGGUUGCGAAGGCAGCGUACCGGCGCCAGACUGACGCUGGGGCACGAAAGCGUGGGGAUCGAACAGGAUUAGAUACCCGAGUAGUC